GGUUAUGGCUCAGUGGUAGAGUGCUUGCCUACACGUGCGAGACCCUGAGUUCGAUCCUCAGCACCA
Molecule: transfer RNA, 66 nt
Filed under: Marmota monax (woodchuck)
Lineage: Eukaryota; Metazoa; Chordata; Mammalia; Rodentia; Sciuridae
Description: tRNA.Undet
Source: RNAcentral